AGGACGAACGCUGGCGGCGCGCCUAAUACAUGCAAGUCGAACGGGUACCUCUUCGGAGGGACUAGUGGCGGACGGGUGAGUAACACGUGGGCGACCUGCCUUUGAGUGGGGAAUAACGCUGGGAAACCAGCGCUAAUACCGCAUACGCUCCCUCUUUCGUGAGAGGGAGGAAAGCUUGAUGCGCUCAAAGAGGGGCCUGCGGCGGAUUAGCUAGUCGGUGGGGUAACGGCCUACCGAGGCGACGAUCCGUAGCUGGUCUGAGAGGAUGAUCAGCCACACUGGGACUGAGACACGGCCCAGACUCCUACGGGAGGCAGCAGUAAGGAAUCUUCCACAAUGGGGGCAACCCUGAUGGAGCGACGCCGCGUGGACGAAGAAGCUUCUCGGAGUGUAAAGUCCUUUUCCCUGCGAUGAGACGGACAGUAGCAGGGGAAUAAGCCACGGCUAACUACGUGCCAGCAGCCGC
Molecule: ribosomal RNA, 466 nt
Filed under: uncultured bacterium
Lineage: Bacteria
Description: SSU rRNA
Rfam family: Bacterial small subunit ribosomal RNA
Source: RNAcentral